UGUGGGAGCUGGCUUGCCUGCGAUAGCGGUGUAUCAGCCACCGCAGGGUUGACUGGUAAAUCGCUAUCGCAGGCAAGCCAGCUCCCACA
RNAcentral lists this non-coding RNA (89 nucleotides) under Pseudomonas tolaasii NCPPB 2192. Lineage: Bacteria; Pseudomonadati; Pseudomonadota; Gammaproteobacteria; Pseudomonadales; Pseudomonadaceae. The record is from RNAcentral.